UUACUUCAAAAAUGAAAAAACGCACUUCAAUGAGGUAAAAUUUGAAGUUCGAAAUUUAAAGCUCAUCUCAAUCUCUUCGCCUUUCUAUUUUAUAUCUCUCCUUGCCGUCCCCCAUCCUCUCUCUCUCUUGAUCUCUCGCCUUGCCCACCUUAGCCCUCUCUCUCUCUUGAUCAGAAAAAAUGCCAACAUUCCAGGCAAAAAUGGAGAUUUUCGAUCACACUAGACUUAAAGAAUUAGGAUCAAGAAUUGGGAGAUUCACAGCUUACUCUACGUAUUUUGAAUGGGGAAUUGUAUGGGGCAGUGAGAUGGUUUGAAGUGUGGUGAUGAAGAUAUUUGGUUUCAAAGCCAUAAAGUAGAAGGCAUGAGAGCUUCUCGCUCAUGUAUUUUCAAGGCUAAAAAAUAUUCUUGACAUAGACAGAGAGAUGGAACAAUGUUGUAAUCAUAUAAUUCGAAUUUGAAUUUUAUGCAAGCAAUGCUAAUGGAGAUCUCACUCACUCUCUCUCUCUCUUUUAAAUUUUAAAACAAUUGAUGUAUUUUAUCUUGUGCCUACAUGAAUAAAGUUUUUCUUGUUCAAUGGGAA
Molecule: long non-coding RNA, 580 nt
Organism: Amborella trichopoda
Lineage: Eukaryota; Viridiplantae; Streptophyta; Magnoliopsida; Amborellales; Amborellaceae
Source: RefSeq, a predicted model, not a curated record